This 68-nucleotide transfer RNA is filed under the name Nesomachilis australica. RNAcentral describes it as "tRNA-Cys". Lineage: Eukaryota; Metazoa; Arthropoda; Insecta; Archaeognatha; Meinertellidae. The record is from RNAcentral.
AAUUUCAUGGUGUAGAAGCAUUUUAGACUGCAAUUCUGAUGGCGUAUAAUUUAGUUAUAUUGAAAUUU